This 352-nucleotide unclassified non-coding RNA is filed under the name uncultured fungus. RNAcentral describes it as "partial contains 5.8S ribosomal RNA and internal transcribed spacer 2". The stretch from base 1 to 133 matches the Rfam family "5.8S ribosomal RNA", at positions 22 to 154 of the family's 154-position model. The record is from RNAcentral. Lineage: Eukaryota; Fungi.
UGGUUCCGGCAACGAUGAAGAACGCAGCGAAAUGCGAUAAGUAAUGUGAAUUGCAGAAUUCCGCGAAUCAUCGAAUCUUUGAACGCACAUUGCGCCCGCCAGCAUCCUGGCGGGCAUGCCUGUCCGAGCGUCAUUUCAACCCUCGAGCCCCUGGGGCCCGGUGCUGGGACGCUGUGGCGACGCCCCCGGGCGCGCCGCAGGCCCCGAAAUACAGCGGCGGCGCCGCCCAGGCCCCCGAGCGAAGUAGCCAACAGCAGCGCUCAGGGAGGUCGGGCGGCCGCUAGCGCCUCGAAGCUGCGCCAGCGGCGCACACGCAAAGGUUGACCUCGGAUCAGGUAGGAGUACCCGCUGA